Molecule: ribosomal RNA, 1753 nt
Filed under: Sternolophus sp. A ET-2017
Lineage: Eukaryota; Metazoa; Arthropoda; Insecta; Coleoptera; Hydrophilidae
Description: SSU rRNA
Rfam family: Eukaryotic small subunit ribosomal RNA
Source: RNAcentral
CGAAAGGCUCAUUAAAUCAGUUAUGGUUCCUUAGAUCGUACCCACAUUUACUUGGAUAACUGUGGUAAUUCUAGAGCUAAUACAUGCAAACAGAGCUCCGACCGGAGACGGAAGGAGCGCUUUUAUUAGAUCAAAACCAAUCGGCGGCGGGUUCGCUCGUCGUCGUACAUUUUGGUGACUCUGAAUAACUUUUUGCUGAUCGCACGGUCUAGCACCGGCGACGCAUCUUUCAAAUGUCUGCCUUAUCAACUGUCGAUGGUAGGUUCUGCGCCUACCAUGGUUGUAACGGGUAACGGGGAAUCAGGGUUCGAUUCCGGAGAGGGAGCCUGAGAAACGGCUACCACAUCCAAGGAAGGCAGCAGGCGCGCAAAUUACCCACUCCCGGCACGGGGAGGUAGUGACGAAAAAUAACGAUACGGGACUCAUCCGAGGCCCCGUAAUCGGAAUGAGUACACUCUAAACCCUUUAACGAGGAUCAAUUGGAGGGCAAGUCUGGUGCCAGCAGCCGCGGUAAUUCCAGCUCCAAUAGCGUAUAUUAAAGUUGUUGCGGUUAAAAAGCUCGUAGUCGAAUCUGUGUCCCGCGCCGUCGGUUCAUCGCUCGCGGUGUUUAACUGACGUGUCGUGGGACGUCCUGCCGGUGGGCUUAGCUCGUUCGCGGGCGGCCCAACUUGAAAUCCCACCGCGGUGCUCUUCAUUGAGUGUCGAGGUGGGCCGGCACGUUUACUUUGAACAAAUUAGAGUGCUUAAAGCAGGCUAAAAUUUCGCCUGAAUAUUCUGUGCAUGGAAUAAUGGAAUAGGACCUCGGUUCUAUUUUGUUGGUUUUCGGAACCCCGAGGUAAUGAUUAAUAGGAACGGAUGGGGGCAUUCGUAUUGCGACGUUAGAGGUGAAAUUCUUGGAUCGUCGCAAGACGGACAGAAGCGAAAGCAUUUGCCAAAAACGCUUUCAUUGAUCAAGAACGAAAGUUAGAGGUUCGAAGGCGAUCAGAUACCGCCCUAGUUCUAACCAUAAACGAUGCCAGCUAGCGAUCCGCCGACGUUCCUCCGAUGACUCGGCGGGCAGCUUCCGGGAAACCAAAGCUUUUGGGUUCCGGGGGAAGUAUGGUUGCAAAGCUGAAACUUAAAGGAAUUGACGGAAGGGCACCACCAGGAGUGGAGCCUGCGGCUUAAUUUGACUCAACACGGGAAACCUCACCAGGCCCGGACACCGGAAGGAUUGACAGAUUGAGAGCUCUUUCUUGAUUCGGUGGGUGGUGGUGCAUGGCCGUUCUUAGUUGGUGGAGCGAUUUGUCUGGUUAAUUCCGAUAACGAACGAGACUCUAGCCUGCUAACUAGGCGUAUUUUCGACAUCCUAAAGGCCCGCCGGCCCGGCGCUCGCGUCGCGGUCGUGCGCGGUUUUUACUGUCGGCGUACAAACAAUUCUUCUUAGAGGGACAGGCGGCUUCUAGCCGCACGAGAUUGAGCAAUAACAGGUCUGUGAUGCCCUUAGAUGUUCUGGGCCGCACGCGCGCUACACUGAAGGAAUCAGCGUGUCCUCCCUGGCCGAGAGGCCCGGGUAACCCGCUGAACCUCCUUCGUGCUAGGGAUUGGGGCUUGCAAUUGUUCCCCAUGAACGAGGAAUUCCCAGUAAGCGCGAGUCAUAAGCUCGCGUUGAUUACGUCCCUGCCCUUUGUACACACCGCCCGUCGCUACUACCGAUUGAAUGAUUUAGUGAGGUCUUCGGACCGGUACGCGGCGGCGCUCCCGCGUCGCCGAU